CGUAAACAACAACAAAAUGAACGCUGAUAGCGAUGUUACGUUCAUUAUCCGGCACAUGGGUACAAGUUAACACAUUUUCCCCGAGUACAGAUCAAUGAAGCGGUAGAAGAUUGAAAGUCGAAUAUGAAUAGUUCAUCGCUGGGUGAUGCAGUUUCGUUUACAGAAGUGGAAAAGGG
Long non-coding RNA from Dreissena polymorpha, 176 nucleotides. RefSeq lists it as uncharacterized. NCBI's taxonomy places the organism in Eukaryota, Metazoa, Mollusca, Bivalvia, Myida, Dreissenidae. The record is from RefSeq and is a predicted model, not a curated record. The transcript has 3 exons.